RNAcentral lists this ribosomal RNA (721 nucleotides) under Kluyveromyces lactis. RNAcentral's name for it is "eukaryotic LSU rRNA". The stretch from base 160 to 721 matches the Rfam family "Eukaryotic large subunit ribosomal RNA", at positions 1 to 573 of the family's 3401-position model. The record is from RNAcentral. Lineage: Eukaryota; Fungi; Ascomycota; Saccharomycetes; Saccharomycetales; Saccharomycetaceae.
GCUGCGUGUCAAGUCUAUGGACUCGACUCUUGCACAUCUACGUCUUAGGUUUGCGCCAAUUCGUGGUAAGCUUGGGUCAUAGAGACUCAUAGGUGUUAUAAAGACUCGCUGGUGUUUGUCUCCUUGAGGCAUACGGCUUUAACCAAAACUCUCAAAGUUUGACCUCAAAUCAGGUAGGAGUACCCGCUGAACUUAAGCAUAUCAAUAAGCGGAGGAAAAGAAACCAACCGGGAUUGCCUUAGUAACGGCGAGUGAAGCGGCAAAAGCUCAAAUUUGAAAUCUGGCGUCUUCGACGUCCGAGUUGUAAUUUGAAGAAGGCGACUUUGUAGCUGGUCCUUGUCUAUGUUCCUUGGAACAGGACGUCAUAGAGGGUGAGAAUCCCGUGUGGCGAGGAUCCCAGUUAUUUGUAAAGUGCUUUCGACGAGUCGAGUUGUUUGGGAAUGCAGCUCUAAGUGGGUGGUAAAUUCCAUCUAAAGCUAAAUAUUGGCGAGAGACCGAUAGCGAACAAGUACAGUGAUGGAAAGAUGAAAAGAACUUUGAAAAGAGAGUGAAAAAGUACGUGAAAUUGUUGAAAGGGAAGGGCAUUUGAUCAGACAUGGCGUUUGCUUCGGCUUUCGCUGGGCCAGCAUCAGUUUUAGCGGUUGGAUAAAUCCUCGGGAAUGUGGCUCUGCUUCGGUAGAGUGUUAUAGCCCGUGGGAAUACAGCCAGCUGGGACUGAGGA